UGGGCGCAACAGCGGGAGGCAGCAGGAGAAGGAGGAGAGGUUCCAAGACAGCUGUCAGCAGUUCGCACACUAUUCCGCACUUGGGCGGGGAGAAGGAGUAGUUUGUAAUAAUGAAUAAUCAGCAUCGUGGUGAAGAUGUUGUUCCGCGUCGUACACCCCGCCGCUCAUCACGUCAAGAAAGGGGGCAGCACAAGAAGCCGGUGUCUUACCCCCUGGGGGGAGGCAGCCUUAAAAGAGGAGCCUGAUGAUGGGGAAUAAGUAAAAACAAGGCAGCCCUGCAGGAGGGGGCGGCAUAACCUCCUCUUUUCUAGGAAGAAUCCGGCAGGUUGUUCUUCCGGCGGUGGCCCCCCGGUCGCGGCGGCAGUGGCGGUGGUGGGGGGUUGUUGUGGAGGAGAACAUCAGGGUUUUGUUCUUCUUCCGUGGGGGGUUCUUCGGGGGGGGUGGGGGGGAGCUUUUGUGGGCCUCGAUGAUCGCCACCCCAGCCGUCGUCCUGGCGCGAUUCGAUGCCCAUCGUGCAUGAUGGCGGGCUGGUCCCGUCCGGACGGCGUGGUGGUGGGUGGUGGCUUGAGAACUGGAUAGUGGACGGGAGCAAGGCGGGGUUUCCUUAGAUUCCUCGUUCGCGGUGGAGAUUGAGAAUCGAUCUAUUUUUUUAGUGUUUGUUUCGAUCGUUUUGUGAUCAUUUUAGUGUGAUGAUUUGUCGUCUGGGAAUUUGCUAGGAAGGAUCCUGCGGCCAUGCGCAUCCCGCCUGGAACCCUUCCC
Molecule: unclassified non-coding RNA, 759 nt
Filed under: Bifidobacterium sp. 116
Lineage: Bacteria; Bacillati; Actinomycetota; Actinomycetes; Bifidobacteriales; Bifidobacteriaceae
Description: partial 16S-23S ribosomal RNA intergenic spacer
Source: RNAcentral